GAUCGGUGACAGGUGGUGCAUGGUUGUCGUCAGCUCGUGUCGUGAGAUGUUGGUUAAGUCCCGCAACGAGCGCAACCCCUAUUGUUAGUUGCCAUCAUUCAGUUGGGCACUCUAGCGAGACUGCCGGUAAUAAACCGGAGGAAGGUGGGGAUGACGUCAAAUCAUCAUGCCCCUUAUGACCUGGGCUACACACGUGCUACAAUGGUUGGUACAACGAGUUGCGAGUCGGUGACGGCGAGCUAAUCUCUUAAAGCCAAUCUCAGUUCGGAUUGUAGGCUGCAACUCGCCUACAUGAAGUUGGAAUCGCUAGUAAUCGCUGAUCAGCAGGCAGCGGUGAAUACGUUCCCGGGCCUU
RNAcentral lists this ribosomal RNA (354 nucleotides) under uncultured Streptococcus sp. Its description in RNAcentral is "bacterial SSU rRNA". It matches the Rfam family "Bacterial small subunit ribosomal RNA", at positions 1026 to 1382 of the family's 1533-position model. Lineage: Bacteria; Bacillati; Bacillota; Bacilli; Lactobacillales; Streptococcaceae. The record is from RNAcentral.